GAUGAACGCUGGCGGCGUGCCUAAUACAUGCAAGUCGAGCGAACAGACGAGGAGCUUGCUCCUCUGACGUUAGCGGCGGACGGGUGAGUAACACGUGGAUAACCUACCUAUAAGACUGGGAUCACUUCGGGAAACCGGAGCUAAUACCGGAUAAUAUAUUGAACCGCAUGGUUCAAUAGUGAAAGACGGUUUUGCUGUCACUUAUAGAUGGUUCCGCGCCGCAUUAGCUAGUUGGUAAGGUAACGGCUUACCAAGGCAACGAUGCGUAGCCGACCUGAGAGGGUGAUCGGCCACACUGGAACUGAGACACGGUCCAGACUCCUACGGGAGGCAGCAGUAGGGAAUCUUCCGCAAUGGGCGAAAGCCUGACGGAGCAACGCCGCGUGAGUGAUGAAGGUCUUCGGAUCGUAAAGCUCUGUUAUUAGGGAAGAACAAAUGUGUAAGUAACUAUGCACGUCUUGACGGUACCUAAUCAGAAAGCCACGGCUAACUACGUG
Molecule: ribosomal RNA, 497 nt
Filed under: uncultured bacterium
Lineage: Bacteria
Description: partial 16S ribosomal RNA
Rfam family: Bacterial small subunit ribosomal RNA
Source: RNAcentral